CGCGCGGGGGCGCGUCCUAUAAUGCAAGUCGAACGAACUCUGGUAUUGAUUGGUGCUUGCAUCAUGAUUUACAUUUGAGUGAGUGGCGAACUGGUGAGUAACACGUGGGAAACCUGCCCAGAAGCGGGGGAUAACACCUGGAAACAGAUGCUAAUACCGCAUAACAACUUGGACCGCAUGGUCCGAGUUUGAAAGAUGGCUUCGGCUAUCACUUUUGGAUGGUCCCGCGGCGUAUUAGCUAGAUGGUGGGGUAACGGCUCACCAUGGCAAUGAUACGUAGCCGACCUGAGAGGGUAAUCGGCCACAUUGGGACUGAGACACGGCCCAAACUCCUACGGGAGGCAGCAGUAGGGAAUCUUCCACAAUGGACGAAAGUCUGAUGGAGCAACGCCGCGUGAGUGAAGAAGGGUUUCGGCUCGUAAAACUCUGUUGUUAAAGAAGAACAUAUCUGAGAGUAACUGUUCAGGUAUUGACGGUAUUUAACCAGAAAGCCACGGCUAACUACGUGCCAGCAGCCGCGGUAAUACGUAGGUGGCAAGCGUUGUCCGGAUUUAUUGGGCGUAAAGCGAGCGCAGGCGGUUUUUUAAGUCUGAUGUGAAAGCCUUCGGCUCAACCGAAGAAGUGCAUCGGAAACUGGGAAACUUGAGUGCAGAAGAGGACAGUGGAACUCCAUGUGUAGCGGUGAAAUGCGUAGAUAUAUGGAAGAACACCAGUGGCGAAGGCGGCUGUCUGGUCUGUAACUGACGCUGAGGCUCGAAAGUAUGGGUAGCAAACAGGAUUAGAUACCCUGGUAGUCCAUACCGUAAACGAUGAAUGCUAAGUGUUGGAGGGUUUCCGCCCUUCAGUGCUGCAGCUAACGCAUUAAGCAUUCCGCCUGGGGAGUACGGCCGCAAGGCUGAAACUCAAAGGAAUUGACGGGGCCCGCACAAGCGGUGGAGCAUGUGGUUUAAUUCGAAGCUACGCGAAGAACCUUACCAGGUCUUGACAUACUAUGCAAUCUAGAGAUUAGACGUUCCCUUCGGGACAUGGAUACAGGUGGUGCAUGGUGUC
This 1050-nucleotide ribosomal RNA is filed under the name Lactiplantibacillus plantarum. RNAcentral's name for it is "bacterial SSU rRNA". It matches the Rfam family "Bacterial small subunit ribosomal RNA", at positions 34 to 1053 of the family's 1533-position model. The record is from RNAcentral. Lineage: Bacteria; Bacillati; Bacillota; Bacilli; Lactobacillales; Lactobacillaceae.